RNAcentral lists this ribosomal RNA (433 nucleotides) under uncultured bacterium. Its description in RNAcentral is "partial 16S ribosomal RNA". It matches the Rfam family "Bacterial small subunit ribosomal RNA", at positions 28 to 507 of the family's 1533-position model. The record is from RNAcentral.
GACGAACGCUGGCGGCAUGCCUAACACAUGCAAGUCGAACGGGAACGUCGGGUCUAGUGGGGGAGGGGGACGUGCGACGGGGUGAGCUACACGUGGGUUCGGUGUAACUCCCCGAAAGAGAUGCUAAGACAGGAUGGUGUCAUAGCACCAAAGACUUCUCGCCAUUGGGUGGGGGCGCGUUGGAUUAGCUGGUUGGUAGGGUAAAAGCAUAGCAAUGCGACGAUGCAUAGCUGGUCGGAGAGGAUGACCAGCUACACUGGGACUGAGACACGGCCCAGACUCGUACGGGAGGCAGCAGUGUGGAAUAUUGUGCGAGGGGCGCAAGUCCGAUCCAGCAAUGUCGCGUGAGUGAGGAAUGCCGUAGUGUUGUAAAGUCCUCUUUCACGGGAUGUGAAUGACAGUAACGGGUAAAUAAGCACCGGCUAACUCCGUG